This is a long non-coding RNA of Entelurus aequoreus (snake pipefish), 673 nucleotides long. RefSeq lists it as uncharacterized. Lineage: Eukaryota; Metazoa; Chordata; Actinopteri; Syngnathiformes; Syngnathidae. The transcript has 3 exons. The record is from RefSeq and is a predicted model, not a curated record.
ACACCUGAGCUUCCUCUCAAGGCAGACAUGUUUACCGUCAAAGAACGAUAAACAAAGUAUAGUGAAGUUGAGUUGAAGCAGACUUACCUCACCUGUCGCCAAACAAACGUGCUGUGGAAAGUUUGCCCCGCGUUCAUUCUGACAGAUACCAAACCUUGUCCAUUGCUUUCUUCAAAAACAUGAUUGCUUUUGGAAUGUCUUUUUGGACACCGUGCCCCUGCCGAGAGACACAAUGUUGCAUCGGUGAAGAUAAAAGUCGUACACAAGUUACACAGAUGUCCGGGGAUGAAUCGGACCUGCAGGAGUGUGAUUCCAAAAUCAUACAUGGAUGCCGGGUCCUCCAACAGCACCGCCCCCCUCUCGUAGUGCCUCAGGGCCGCCUGAAUGUUGGGAGACACUCCCUGCUGACCCCAGAACAGCAUGCGGGCGACGGCUUGCUAGGAAAAAAAUAAAGUACAUUCUGUACAAAUGUGCUAUUCCUGGGACGUCCCAGUGGCCAAGCCAGGCCUCAGUUCAAUCUGCUUUUUAUUUGUCUUUAUUAGUGAGGUACCUCUGCAUCAGGUGCACCUCUGUGUGCCUGAUGUUUCAGCCACUGGAAGAUGUGGUGGUUUUCAUUGGUUUGAAGCUGUAGGACCUCUUCAUUGUGCAAGUAAAUCUCCUCAACAUACACCUG